GAUGAACGCUGGCGGCGUGCCUAAUACAUGCAAGUCGAGCGAACAGACGAGGCUCUUGCUCCUCUGACGUUAGCGGCGGACGGGUGAGUAACACGUGGAUAACCUACCUAUAAGACUGGGAUAACUUCGGGAAACCUGAUCUAAUACCGGAUAAUAUAUUGAACCGCAUGGUUCAAUAGUGAACGACGGUUUUGCUGUCACUUAUAGAUGUAUCCUCGCCGCAUUAGCUAGUUGGUAAGGUAACGGCUUACCAAGGCAACGAUGCGUAGCCGACCUGAGAGGAUGAUCGGCCACACUGGAACUGAGACACGGUCCAGACUCCUACGGGAGGCAGCAGUAGGGAAUCUUCCGCAAUGGGCGAAAGCCUGACGGAGCAACGCCGCGUGAGUGAUGAAGGUCUUCGGAUCGUAAAACUCUGUUAUUAGGGAAGAACAAAUGUGUAAGUAACUAUGCACGUCUUGACGGUACCUAAACAGAAAGCCACGGCUAACUACGUG
RNAcentral lists this ribosomal RNA (497 nucleotides) under uncultured bacterium. Its description in RNAcentral is "partial 16S ribosomal RNA". It matches the Rfam family "Bacterial small subunit ribosomal RNA", at positions 28 to 507 of the family's 1533-position model. The record is from RNAcentral.